This 492-nucleotide ribosomal RNA is filed under the name uncultured bacterium. RNAcentral's name for it is "partial 16S ribosomal RNA". It matches the Rfam family "Bacterial small subunit ribosomal RNA", at positions 28 to 507 of the family's 1533-position model. The record is from RNAcentral.
GAUGAACGCUAGCUACAGGCUUAACACAUGCAAGUCGAGGGGAAACGGCAUCGAAAGCUUGCUUUUGAUGGGCGUCGACCGGCGCACGGGUGAGUAACGCGUAUCCAACCUGCCCAUCACUUGGGAAUAACCUUGCGAAAGUAAGACUAAUGCCCAAUGACAUCCCACGAAGGCAUCCGAAUGGGAUUAAAGAUUUAUCGGUGAUGGAUGGGGAUGCGUCUGAUUAGCUUGUUGGCGGGGUGACGGCCCACCAAGGCAACGAUCAGUAGGGGUUCUGAGAGGAAGGUCCCCCACAUUGGAACUGAGACACGGUCCAAACUCCUACGGGAGGCAGCAGUGGGGAAUAUUGGUCAAUGGGCGAGAGCCUGAACCAACCAAGUAGCGUGCAGGAUGACGGCCCUAUGGGUUGUAAACUGCUUUUAUAAGGGAAUAAAGUGGGUCACGUGUGACUUUUUGCAUGUACCUUAUGAAUAAGGACCGGCUAAUUCCGUG